GUGGCCUACGGGACGCAGCAGUGGGGGAUAUUGCACAAUGGGGGGAACCCUGAUGCAGCGACGCCGCGUGGGUGAAGAAGUAUUUCGGUAUGUAAAGCCCUAUCGGCAGGGAAGAAAUUGGACGGUACCUGACUAAGAGGCCCCGGCUAACUACGUGCCAGCAGCCGCGGUAAUACGUAGGGGGCAAGCGUUAUCCGGAUUUAUUGGGUUUAAAGGGUGCGCAGGCGGCACGGCAAGCCGGCGGUCAAA
This 249-nucleotide ribosomal RNA is filed under the name uncultured bacterium. RNAcentral's name for it is "partial 16S ribosomal RNA". It matches the Rfam family "Bacterial small subunit ribosomal RNA", at positions 334 to 599 of the family's 1533-position model. The record is from RNAcentral.